This 862-nucleotide ribosomal RNA is filed under the name uncultured bacterium. Its description in RNAcentral is "bacterial SSU rRNA". It matches the Rfam family "Bacterial small subunit ribosomal RNA", at positions 60 to 887 of the family's 1533-position model. The record is from RNAcentral.
CGUCUCCGUUAUGAUUUUAGGUGCUUGCACUUGAAAGAUUUAACAUUGAGACGAGUGGCGAACUGGUGAGUAACACGUGGGUAACCUGCCCUUGAAGUAGGGGAUAACACUUGGAAACAGGUGCUAAUACCGUAUAACAACCAAAACCACCUGGUUUUGGUUUAAAAGACGGCUUCGGCUGUCACUUUAGGAUGGACCCGCGGCGUAUUAGCUUGUUGGUAAGGUAACGGCCUACCAAGGCGAUGAUACGUAGCCGACCUGAGAGGGUAAUCGGCCACAUUGGGACUGAGACACGGCCCAAACUCCUACGGGAGGCAGCAGUAGGGAAUCUUCCACAAUGGACGAAAGUCUGAUGGAGCAACGCCGCGUGAGUGAUGAAGGGUUUCGGCUCGUAAAACUCUGUUGUUGGAGAAGAACAGGUGUCAGAGUAACUGUUGACAUCUUGACGGUAUCCAACCAGAAAGCCACGGCUAACUACGUGCCAGCAGCCGCGGUAAUACGUAGGUGGCAAGCGUUGUCCGGAUUUAUUGGGCGUGAAGCGAGCGCAGGCGGUUUUUUAGGUCUGAUGUGAAAGCCUUCGGCUUAACCGGAGAAGUGCAUCGGAAACCGGGAGACUUGAGUGCAGAAGAGGACAGUGGAACUCCAUGUGUAGCGGUGAAAUGCGUAGAUAUAUGGAAGAACACCAGUGGCGAAGGCGGCUGUCUGGUCUGUAACUGACGCUGAGGCUCGAAAGCAUGGGUAGCGAACAGGAUUAGAUACCCUGGUAGUCCAUGCCGUAAACGAUGAGUGCUAAGUGUUGGAGGGUUUCCGCCCUUCAGUGCUGCAGCUAACGCAUUAAGCACUCCGCCUGGGGAGUACGACC